Molecule: transfer RNA, 80 nt
Filed under: Eubacterium pyruvativorans
Lineage: Bacteria; Bacillati; Bacillota; Clostridia; Eubacteriales; Eubacteriaceae
Rfam family: tRNA
About the family: Transfer RNA (tRNA) molecules are approximately 80 nucleotides in length. Their secondary structure includes four short double-helical elements and three loops (D, anti-codon, and T loops).
Source: Rfam by way of RNAcentral
GCGGCUGUGGCGGAAUUGGCAGACGCGUACGGUUGAGGGCCGUAUGGGUAACCGUGCUGGUUCAAAUCCAGUCAGCCGCA